RNAcentral lists this ribosomal RNA (504 nucleotides) under Telescopus semiannulatus. RNAcentral describes it as "partial 16S ribosomal RNA". It matches the Rfam family "Bacterial large subunit ribosomal RNA", at positions 1816 to 2597 of the family's 2925-position model. The record is from RNAcentral. Lineage: Eukaryota; Metazoa; Chordata; Lepidosauria; Squamata; Colubridae.
AACCUUUAGCCAAACAAGUAUUAAAGGCAACGCCUGCCCAGUGAACAAUUAAACGGCCGCGGUACCCUAACCGUGCAAAGGUAGCAUAAUCAUUUGUCUACUAAUUAUAGACCUGUAUGAAAGGCAAAAUGAGGGUUUAACUGUCUCUUAUAGUCAACCAAUUAAACUGAUCUCCUAGUAAAAAAGCUAGAAUACCAACAUAAGACCAGAAGACCCUGUGAAGCUUUAAUUAAACUAUUAAACCCAAUAAUAACUAAUUUAGGUUGGGGCGACCUUGGAAAUAAAAAGAACUUCCAAAAAUGAUAUACUUCACACCAAUAGGCACACAAGCCAUUAAACGACCCAGUACAACUGACAAACGGACCAAGUUACUCCAGGGAUAACAGCGCAAUCUUCUUCAAGAGCCCAUAUCAAAAAGAAGGUUUACGACCUCGAUGUUGGAUCAGGACAUCCUAAUGGUGCAACCGCUAUUAAGGGUUCGUUUGUUCAACGAUUAACAGUCCU